Molecule: long non-coding RNA, 844 nt
Filed under: Sus scrofa (pig)
Lineage: Eukaryota; Metazoa; Chordata; Mammalia; Artiodactyla; Suidae
Description: lncRNA (ENSSSCG00025067041.1)
Source: RNAcentral
GAGGAGGACGGGAGGCACCCCCGGUCCAGCAGGCAGCGGGCGGUCCCCCGGGCCCACCCAGCACUCCAAGGCCAGCCAGCUUGGCUCCAGCAGGGCGGGCCCCACAUCCGCCUGCCCCACCUGCAAGCGUCAGGGACCCCGACCCCGCGGCUCCUCCGGCCGCUCUUGGGAAAGGCAGAGGGCCUGGGGCAGCCAGCCUGGCCAAGCCUCGGUCCCCAGAGGGCCUGUCAGCUCUCACCCGAUAACCUGUCUGAGUCACUCCAUGACUGUCAUUCUGUCUCCUCUUCGCAAGUCGGCCUCGGCACCUCACGGCCCGUGGACAAACCUGGAAGCCCUUGCCUGGCCGUCGUUGGAGCCACGUGGCCCCAGGAGCGCCCGGGCUCAGCCCAGCCAAGACGUCCCCGAGCCUGGCUCAAGCUGCACACCGCCCACCUCCGCGUCCCCACACUCCCCCCCACCCCACCCCCGAGGGUGUCUUGCCCUGAGACCUGGGUGGGACCUCUCGUGUUCAGUGUCCAGAACUGGGCCUGGCUCACUGGGGAGAGAGCAAGGCGAACGCACGCAGACACACAGGCCUGACAAAGGCUCACAGCUGUUGACAGAAAGAGCCCGGGACACACCUAGAGGCGGCAGGAGAGACUUCACGCAGGCCCCUGCAGUGGGGAGAGACCCCACAAGGACUCCAGGGUUUAAAGGGAGAGCAGGAGUCUCCCGGUGGCUCAGCCAGUUAAGCAUCUGAGGCUGUCACUGCUGUGGCACAGUUUCGAUCCCUGGCUCAGAACUUCUUCAUGCCUCGAGUGCGGCCAAACAAUAAAUAAAUAAAGGGAUGACGUUUUCGUUGUGG